UGGUAGUCCGCACGAGCGCAACCCUUGUCCUUAGUUGCCACCAUUCAGUUGGGCGACUCUAAGGAGACUGCCGGUGUUAAACCGGAGGAAGGUGGGGAUGACGUCAAGUCCUCAUGGCCCUUAUAUCCAGGGCUACACACGUGCUACAAUGGCCGGUACAAAGGGUCGCAAUACCGCGAGGUGGAGCUAAUCCCAAAAAGCCGGUCUCAGUUCGGAUUGGAGUCUGCAACUCGACUCCAUGAAGUCGGAGUUGCUAGUAACCGCGCGUCAGCUAUAGCGCGGUGAAUACGUUCCCGGGCCUU
This 302-nucleotide ribosomal RNA is filed under the name uncultured Geothermobacter sp. RNAcentral's name for it is "bacterial SSU rRNA". It matches the Rfam family "Bacterial small subunit ribosomal RNA", at positions 1077 to 1382 of the family's 1533-position model. The record is from RNAcentral. Lineage: Bacteria; Pseudomonadati; Thermodesulfobacteriota; Desulfuromonadia; Desulfuromonadales; Geothermobacteraceae.